RNAcentral lists this ribosomal RNA (596 nucleotides) under uncultured bacterium. RNAcentral's name for it is "bacterial SSU rRNA". It matches the Rfam family "Bacterial small subunit ribosomal RNA", at positions 112 to 704 of the family's 1533-position model. The record is from RNAcentral.
AAUGCCUAGGAAUCUGCCUGGUAGUGGGGGAUAACGUCCGGAAACGGACGCUAAUACCGCAUACGUCCUACGGGAGAAAGCAGGGGACCUUCGGGCCUUGCGCUAUCAGAUGAGCCUAGGUCGGAUUAGCUAGUUGGUGAGGUAAUGGCUCACCAAGGCGACGAUCCGUAACUGGUCUGAGAGGAUGAUCAGUCACACUGGAACUGAGACACGGUCCAGACUCCUACGGGAGGCAGCAGUGGGGAAUAUUGGACAAUGGGCGAAAGCCUGAUCCAGCCAUGCCGCGUGUGUGAUGAAGGUCUUCGGAUUGUAAAGCACUUUAAGUUGGGAGGAAGGGUUGUAGAUUAAUACUCUGCAAUUUUGACGUUACCGACAGAAUAAGCACCGGCUAACUCUGUGCCAGCAGCCGCGGUAAUACAGAGGGUGCAAGCGUUAAUCGGAAUUACUGGGCGUAAAGCGCGCGUAGGUGGUUUGUUAAGUUGGAUGUGAAAUCCCCGGGCUCAACCUGGGAACUGCAUUCAAAACUGACUGACUAGAGUAUGGUAGAGGGUGGUGGAAUUUCCUGUGUAGCGGUGAAAUGCGUAGAUAUAGGAAGG